RNAcentral lists this ribosomal RNA (195 nucleotides) under uncultured bacterium. RNAcentral describes it as "partial 16S ribosomal RNA". It matches the Rfam family "Bacterial small subunit ribosomal RNA", at positions 338 to 524 of the family's 1533-position model. The record is from RNAcentral.
CCUACGGGAGGCAGCAGCUAAGAAUAUUCCGCAAUGGACGAAAGUCUGACGGAGCGACGCCGCGUGGAUGAUGAAGGCCGGAAGGUUGUAAAAUCCUUUUGGGAGCGAGGAAUAAGUGAGGUGAGAGAAACGCCUCAUGGUGACGGUAGCUUCUGAAUAAGCAACGGCUAAUUACGUGCCAGCAGCCGCGGUAAU